This 89-nucleotide transfer RNA is filed under the name Porella gracillima. RNAcentral's name for it is "tRNA-Ile". The stretch from base 16 to 89 matches the Rfam family "tRNA". From Rfam's summary of the family: Transfer RNA (tRNA) molecules are approximately 80 nucleotides in length. Their secondary structure includes four short double-helical elements and three loops (D, anti-codon, and T loops). The record is from RNAcentral. Lineage: Eukaryota; Viridiplantae; Streptophyta; Jungermanniopsida; Porellales; Porellaceae.
AUUCUAUUGAUUCGAGCAUCCAUGGCUGAAUGGUUAAAGCACCCAACUCAUAAUUGGCGAACUCACAGGUUCAAUUCCUGUUGGAUGCA